RNAcentral lists this ribosomal RNA (468 nucleotides) under uncultured bacterium. RNAcentral's name for it is "partial 16S ribosomal RNA". It matches the Rfam family "Bacterial small subunit ribosomal RNA", at positions 28 to 507 of the family's 1533-position model. The record is from RNAcentral.
GACGAACGCUGGCGGCGUGCUUAACACAUGCAAGUCGAACGGAAGGGCCCUGCUUUUGUGGGGUGCUCGAGUGGCGAACGGGUGAGUAACACGUGAGUAACCUGCCCUUGACUUUGGGAUAACUUCAGGAAACUGGGGCUAAUAUCGGAUAGGAGCUCCUGCUGCAUGGUGGGGGUUGGAAAGUUUCGGCGGUUGGGGAUGGACUCGCGGCUUAUCAGCUUGUUGGUGGGGUAGUGGCUUACCAAGGCUUUGACGGGUAGCCGGCCUGAGAGGGUGACCGGCCACAUUGCGACUGAGAUACGGCCCAGACUCCUACGGGAGGCAGCAGUGGGGAAUAUUGCACAAUGGGCGGAAGCCUGAUGCAGCAACGCCGCGUGCGGGAUGACGGCCUUCGGGUUGUAAACCGCUUUCGCCUGUGACGAAGCGUGAGUGACGGUAAUGAGUAAAGAAGCACCGGCUAACUACGUG